This 156-nucleotide ribosomal RNA is filed under the name Clostridium novyi A str. 4570. RNAcentral's name for it is "partial 16S ribosomal RNA". It matches the Rfam family "Bacterial small subunit ribosomal RNA", at positions 1 to 152 of the family's 1533-position model. Lineage: Bacteria; Bacillati; Bacillota; Clostridia; Eubacteriales; Clostridiaceae. The record is from RNAcentral.
UUUUAAAUUGAGAGUUUGAUCCUGGCUCAGGACGAACGCUGGCGGCGUGCCUAACACAUGCAAGUCGAGCGAUGAAGCUUCCUUCGGGAAGUGGAUUAGCGGCGGACGGGUGAGUAACACGUGGGUAACCUGCCUCAAAGAGUGGGAUAGCCUCCC